AAGUCGUAACAAGGUUUCCGUAGGUGAACCUGCGGAAGGAUAUUAAAGAAUUAGCUUCGCGGCCAAGUUCUCAGCCCUUUGUAGUACCGGAAACCAUGUUGCUUUGGCAGGCCCCUGCAUUUCUCGGGCCUGCCAGAGGUAUAAACCCUAGAGUCUCUGCUGUCUGAGUACUAUACAAUAGUUAAA
Molecule: unclassified non-coding RNA, 186 nt
Filed under: plant metagenome
Description: partial contains small subunit ribosomal RNA and internal transcribed spacer 1
Rfam family: Eukaryotic small subunit ribosomal RNA (bases 1-46)
Source: RNAcentral